AUUGAACGCUGGCGGCAGGCCUAACACAUGCAAGUCGAGCGGAUGAAGGGAGCUUGCUCCUGGAUUCAGCGGCGGACGGGUGAGUAAUGCCUAGGAAUCUGCCUGGUAGUGGGGGAUAACGUCCGGAAACGGGCGCUAAUACCGCAUACGUCCUGAGGGAGAAAGUGGGGGAUCUUCGGACCUCACGCUAUCAGAUGAACCUAGGUCGGAUUAGCUAGUUGGUGGGGUAAAGGCCUACCAAGGCGACGAUCCGUAACUGGUCUGAGAGGAUGAUCAGUCACACUGGAACUGAGACACGGUCCAGACUCCUACGGGAGGCAGCAGUGGGGAAUAUUGGACAAUGGGCGAAAGCCUGAUCCAGCCAUGCCGCGUGUGUGAAGAAGGUCUUCGGAUUGUAAAGCACUUUAAGUUGGGAGGAAGGGCAGUAAGUUAAUACCUUGCUGUUUUGACGGUACCAACAGAAUAAGCACCGGCUAACUUCGUG
RNAcentral lists this ribosomal RNA (484 nucleotides) under uncultured bacterium. Its description in RNAcentral is "partial 16S ribosomal RNA". It matches the Rfam family "Bacterial small subunit ribosomal RNA", at positions 30 to 507 of the family's 1533-position model. The record is from RNAcentral.